Molecule: long non-coding RNA, 2021 nt
Organism: Cynoglossus semilaevis (tongue sole)
Lineage: Eukaryota; Metazoa; Chordata; Actinopteri; Pleuronectiformes; Cynoglossidae
Exons: 2
Source: RefSeq, a predicted model, not a curated record
AAUAAAAAACAUCUCAGAGUACAGGCAUUAAAAGCUGCUUUAAAUCCAAAAUGACUCAAUAACUGGACUUAAAUUCAGUGGGUAAAAGUCGACACUACAAACAGCGUGCGAUCGUAUGAAGUGCUAAUGAAUUUAUGUUGCGUUUACUUUGUACCCCUCCCUCUUCGGAUUGUUUUUAGAAUAUAACAAACCAUAAAUUUCUGCCAACACAUACUUAGGAACAGUUUCUGUCUGAAAUAUACUACAGUCGUAAAAUACCAUUGGAACAAUGGUUGCAUGUAAUUUAGCUUAUUUUAGCCUCAGACGUCUAGACAUCCUUUGACCUGCAAAUCACCAAAUCAGUGCCUGCAGUGGUUUGAAGGCUCUUCGUCUCAGGAGGAACAGUUUUAUUUUUAAUUCAAAGUUGAGUGUUCGUAAUACAGUAUUCCACAGAUGCAGGUAAAAGUCUGCAGAGAUUACUUCCGAAAGAAGUGUUUCCAGAAAUCUGUCACUUGGUCAGAAUUUGAAAUAAUUACUUUUCGGACUGAUUUUUAUUUUUAGCUUUUUUGGUACGGAGGUUUUAAAUUAGAUUUUUUUUUAAUUCUGUCAUAGAAGGUGUUCUAGCAGUGGUUCCUGUGAUCGCGAUCGUUAAGUGAAGUCAUUUUUAAUGAUUAGUUAAAAAUCAACAUUUACUAGACACCAGGCGACCCCAAGUUUGAGCCACAACAACGCCAAGGUUGAAAAACGCCGCACUAAUUGGUCCUGCUUUUUCCUUUGUCAUUCCUGAGCUGCCAUUGUUCUGAUGUCAUCGCAUGUGCUCCGUGUUCCUAUUGGCCGCUGACAAUGUAGCUGAAGCUUCUUAGGUUUAUAAUAAGAAAACAGAUUUUUAGUAAGACGUUCUCAAACACCUCUCUGUCUCUCAGCUCUUCCUUGUCCGUUACACUUCUUUUCUCUCCUCCUCCUCCUCCUCCUCCUCCGUUCUUUCCCAGUUCCAUCCAUUACUGAUUAUCAUAUGUAACGUUCGCUGAGGGAAGAGGCGGGAGAGCCUUAAGCCACCAGACCCUUCUCCGACAUGAAAGCAGGCCCUUCAUCUGCUCCACAUUAUUGGCACACAGACAUUUUAAGACAUCUUUUCUUAUUUUUCAAACAAUAGAGCAUUUGAUUUAUGGAGUGGCAUUAGAAUUUCUUGAGCCAAUCACCGCACAUGAAACGAUAAGGAGAGCGAGCGAGGAGUGAGAGAAUUGAAUUUCUCUUCACGUUUCUCUUGUGGUUCCCUCCCCUUCAAGUCUGGCUAGCCUUUUUUUUUGUGACUCUAGUUAGAUCUUUGCAGGAUUUUGGCCGAGACACUGUCACCUUAAAAAUCCUUUCCUGGACUUUUUUUUUUGUUUUGUUUUUUCUUUUGAUCAUUUUGAACGCUAUUAGUUCCCAGAUGUUUAACCCUGACCUCCAUUUGGCUUUUGUCUUGGCUCAGAGUAUGAUAGGACUUAGAACUGGCCUCAUCCACUGAGGUCACUCUGUGGAGGAUUAGUGUGUGUCUGAUACUGUGACGAAGCUGGAAAUGACAUUGAAGCUAAAUAUAACAAUCUAUUAUGAGAGCGAGAACUGUUUUUUUUUUGCUGAUUUUUCAGGUUCCUAAUAUGCAGCCCUGGGACUUUCACAGGCAGCGCUAUAGAACUGUUAUUAAAAACUGGAUCAAAGCACGGGAAGUACAUCCAAGAUCCUUUGAACCAGAGACUACAAUGGUUUGAAAAGGACUCCAAAGUAAUGAAAGUCUAAAAGAAAAUGGACUAAAUCGCACAUUUUAAGGAGAGACUGUGAAGUAGAAAAUGAUGUUAAAUCGAUUUCACCCCAUUUUAAAAAUUAACAGGCAAAAAUAUAGUCCACUAAAACAGUGUUUCCCAAAGACUGGGUCGGGACCCUCAGCUUUUGUUGUUAUAGUUCACCUAAUCUACCAAACUACUCAGGCUAACCUUUAGCUUUUUUUGCUACUUUUGGAUACUUGUCCAUAAAUAAAUCCAUAUCAAUUAUUCUGUAAACUGAAA